This 494-nucleotide ribosomal RNA is filed under the name uncultured bacterium. RNAcentral's name for it is "bacterial SSU rRNA". It matches the Rfam family "Bacterial small subunit ribosomal RNA", at positions 8 to 526 of the family's 1533-position model. The record is from RNAcentral.
AGAGUUUGAUCAUGGCUCAGAAUGAACGUUGGCGGCGUGGAUUAGGCAUGCAAGUCGGACGGGCCGCAAGGCCAGUGGCGCAAGGGUGAGUAAGGCGACGGUAACCAACCCCGCAGACGGGCAUAGCCGGGGGAAACCCCGGGUAAUUCCCGGCGACGUGGCGGCCCGGCAUCGGGCGGCCACCAAAGAUUCAUCGCUGCGGGACGGGCCGUCGUGGUAUUAGGUAGUUGGCGGGGUGACGGCCCACCAAGCCUGCGAUGCCUACCGGGCGUGCGAGCGUGGCCCGGCACACUGGGACUGAGACACUGCCCAGACUCCUACGGGAGGCUGCAGUCGAGAAUCUUCGGCAAUGGGCGCAAGCCUGACCGAGCGACGCCGCGUGGAGGAUGAAGGCCUUCGGGUUGUAAACUCCUGUCGAGGGGGAGGAAGGCGCAAGCUUGACCGAUCCCUGGAGGAAGCACGGGCUAAGUUCGUGCCAGCAGCCGCGGUAAUAC